AGCAUAUCAAUAAGCGGAGGAAAAGAAACUAACAAGGAUUCCCCUAGUAACUGCGAGUGAAGUGGGAAAAGCUCAAAUUUAAAAUCUGUCAGUCUUUGACUGUCCGAGUUGUAAUCUAGAGAAGUGUUAUCUGUGCUGGACCAUGUAUAAGUCUCCUGGAAUGGAGCCUCAUAGAGGGUGAGAAUCCCGUCUUUGACAUGGACUACCAGGACUUUGUGAUACACUCUCAAAGAGUCGAGUUGUUUGGGAAUGCAGCUCAAAAUGGGUGGUAAAUUCCAUCUAAAGCUAAAUAUUGGCGAGAGACCGAUAGUGAACAAGUACCGUGAGGGAAAGAUGAAAAGAACUUUGGAAAGAGAGUUAAACAGUACGUGAAAUUGCUGAAAGGGAAACGCUUGAAGUCAGUCACAUUGGCCAGGGAUCAACCUUGCUUUUGCUUGGUGUACUUUCUGGUUGAUGGGUCAGUAUCAAUUUUGACUAUUGGAAAAGGAUCAGGGGAAUGUGGCAUCUUUGGAUGUGUUAUAGCCCUUGGUUGUAUACAAUGUUUGGGAUUGAGGAACUCAGCAUAUUAUUAUGUGCUUAGGAUGCUGGCAUAAUGGCUUUAAUCGACCCGUCUUGAAACACGGACCAAGGAGUCUAACAUGCCUGCGAGUGUUUGGGUGGAAAACCCGAGCGCGUAAUGAAAGUGAAAGUUGAGAUCCUUGUCUAUAGGAGCAUCGACGCCCGGACCAGACCUUUUGUGACGGUUCUGCGGUAGAGCAUGUAUGUUGGGACCCGAAAGAUGGUGAACUAUGCCUGAAUAGGGUGAAGCCAGAGGAAACUCUGGUGGAGGCUCGUAGCGAUUCUGACGUGCAAAUCGAUCGUCAAAUUUGGGUAUAGGGGCGAAAGACUAAUCGAACCAUCUAGUAGCUGGUUCCUGCCGAAGU
RNAcentral lists this ribosomal RNA (923 nucleotides) under Cortinarius sp. Its description in RNAcentral is "LSU rRNA". It matches the Rfam family "Eukaryotic large subunit ribosomal RNA", at positions 37 to 967 of the family's 3401-position model. Lineage: Eukaryota; Fungi; Basidiomycota; Agaricomycetes; Agaricales; Cortinariaceae. The record is from RNAcentral.